Molecule: ribosomal RNA, 497 nt
Filed under: uncultured bacterium
Lineage: Bacteria
Description: partial 16S ribosomal RNA
Rfam family: Bacterial small subunit ribosomal RNA
Source: RNAcentral
GAUGAACGCUGGCGGCGUGCCUAAUACAUGCAAGUCGAGCGAACGGACGAGAAGCUUGCUUCUCUGAUGUUAGCGGCGGACGGGUGAGUAACACGUGGAUAACCUACCUAUAAGACUGGGAUAACUUCGGGAAACCGGAGCUAAUACCGGAUGAUAUUUUGAACCGCAUGGUUCAAAAGUGAAAGACGGUCUUGCUGUCACUUAAAGAUGGAUCCGCGCUGCAUUAGCUAGUUGGUAAGGUAACGGCUUACCAAGGCAACGAUGCAUAGCCGACCUGAGAGGGUGAUCGGCCACACUGGAACUGAGACACGGACCAGACUCCUACGGGAGGCAGCAGUAGGGAAUCUUCCGCAAUGGGCGAAAGCCUGACGGAGCAACGCCGCGUGAGUGAUGAAGGUCUUCGGAUCGUAAAACUCUGUUAUUAGGGAAGAACAUAUGUGUAAGUAACUGUGCACAUCUUGACGGUACCUAAUCAGAAAGCCACGGCUAACUACGUG